CAGGAUAGCGGCGGGCUACCAUGCAGUCGAGCGGUAGCACAGAGAGCUUGCUCUCGGGUGACGAGCGGCGGACGGGUGAGUAAUGUCUGGGAAACUGCCUGAUGGAGGGGGAUAACUACUGGAAACGGUAGCUAAUACCGCAUAACGUCGCAAGACCAAAGAGGGGGACCUUCGGGCCUCUUGCCAUCAGAUGUGCCCAGAUGGGAUUAGCUAGUAGGUGGGGUAACGGCUCACCUAGGCGACGAUCCCUAGCUGGUCUGAGAGGAUGACCAGCCACACUGGAACUGAGACACGGUCCAGACUCCUACGGGAGGCAGCAGUGGGGAAUAUUGCACAAUGGGCGCAAGCCUGAUGCAGCCAUGCCGCGUGUAUGAAGAAGGCCUUCGGGUUGUAAAGUACUUUCAGCGGGGAGGAAGGUGCUGAGGUUAAUAACCUCAGCAAUUGACGUUACCCGCAGAAGAAGCACCGGCUAACUCCGUGCCAGCAGCCGCGGUAAUACGGAGGGUGCAAGCGUUAAUCGGAAUUACUGGGCGUAAAGCGCACGCAGGCGGUCUGUCAAGUCGGAUGUGAAAUCCCCGGGCUCAACCUGGGAACUGCAUUCGAAACUGGCAGGCUAGAGUCUUGUAGAGGGGGGUAGAAUUCCAGGUGUAGCGGUGAAAUGCGUAGAGAUCUGGAGGAAUACCGGUGGCGAAGGCGGCCCCCUGGACAAAGACUGACGCUCAGGUGCGAAAGCGUGGGGAGCAAACAGGAUUAGAUACCCUGGUAGUCCACGCCGUAACGAUGUCGACUUGGAGGUUGUGCCCUUGAGGCGUGGCUUCCGGAGCUAACGCGUUAAGUCGACCGCCUGGGGAGUACGGCCGCAAGGUUAAAACUCAAAUGAAUUGACGGGGGCCCGCACAAGCGGUGGAGCAUGUGGUUUAAUUCGAUGCAACGCGGAGAACCUUACCUACUCUUGACAUCCAGAGAACUUUCCAGAGAUGCUUUGGUGCCUUCGGGAAACUCUGAGACAGGUGCUGCAUGGCUGUCGUCAGCUCGUGUUGUGAAAUGUUGGGUUAAGUCCCGCAACGAGCGCAACCCUUAUCCCUUUGUUGCCAGCGGUUCCGGCCGGGAACCUCAAAAG
RNAcentral lists this ribosomal RNA (1120 nucleotides) under Enterobacter asburiae. RNAcentral describes it as "bacterial SSU rRNA". It matches the Rfam family "Bacterial small subunit ribosomal RNA", at positions 32 to 1145 of the family's 1533-position model. The record is from RNAcentral. Lineage: Bacteria; Pseudomonadati; Pseudomonadota; Gammaproteobacteria; Enterobacterales; Enterobacteriaceae.